UACGAAGGGAGCUAGCGUUGUUCGGAAUCACUGGGCGUAAAGCGUGCGUAGGCGGCUUUGUAAGUUAGGAGUGAAAGCCCGGGGCUCAACCUCGGAAUUGCUUCUAAUACUGCUUAGCUAGAGUGAGGUAGAGGAUGGCAGAAUUCCUAGUGUAGAGGUGAAAUUCGUAGAUAUUAGGAGGAAUACCGGAGGCGAAAGCGGCCAUCUGGGCCUAUACUGACGCUAAGGCACGAAAGCGUGGGGAGCAAACAGG
Molecule: ribosomal RNA, 253 nt
Filed under: uncultured bacterium
Lineage: Bacteria
Description: partial 16S ribosomal RNA
Rfam family: Bacterial small subunit ribosomal RNA
Source: RNAcentral